UGGGCACAGAGACGAUUCGGCGCUGCCGUG
Molecule: small RNA, 30 nt
Filed under: Bombyx mori (domestic silkworm)
Lineage: Eukaryota; Metazoa; Arthropoda; Insecta; Lepidoptera; Bombycidae
Description: ovarian small RNA-35005
Source: RNAcentral